GCGGGGCUGAGCCAAGCGGGGCUGAGCCAAGCGUGGGGCCGCGCCGCCCCGGCCUCUCUUUGUUGUUUCGGCCGCCGCCGAGCCUCCUGGUCGGCGACAGCAGCGGCGGGCCGGCGGAAUGUCCCAGGAGAACCUCCUCAGCAUGGAUGAGGGAGCGCUGCGGAAGCUGCUGGAGGCAACGCUGGACCUGGCUGAGCGGCGCCGUAUCCGCUCGGCCAUCCGGGAGCUGCAGCGGCAGGAGCUGGACGAGGAGGCACUGGCAUCCAAGCGCUUCCGCACAGAGCGUGGCAGCCACCGGCAGGACGACAAGGAGAACUGGCCACGAUCUCAGCGCCUGGAGGAGGAGCAGCAGACAGCCCUGGCCGCCUUGUCCCAGCAGCUUGAAGCCAUCACUGAUGUGGAAGAGCUGACAAAACUGCUGCGGGCAGCAGGCGAGUAUGAGGAGCGCAAGAUUAUCCGAGCUGCCAUACGCAAACUGCGGGCUGAGGAGAUAGAAGCUGCAGUCCUGGCUGGAAACUUGCAGAGCAGCCGGAGGGAGAGCAGCGAGCCACCCACUGUACCUGGGGAUGCAAAAAGCAGCUGGAGGGACGAUGCUGAAACAAAGGACAGCCAGAGGGGCAAUAUCGAGCUGCCAGUCCUGGCUGGGAAUGAAGGAAGAUGUGGUGAGGGCAGAUCCGAGCCCCUGGCUGCAGCCAGGAGUGGGAAGAGCAGCCAGCAGGAUGAUGCAGAGCAAACAAAGCUGGCUGGGCCAGAGGAGAGUAGCCCCAGAGGGGGUACAGAGUGGCCCCUUGGAGAGGAGCCCAAAGGCUCAGUGGCCCAUGAGCAAGACAACGUGGUGGAGCAGGAUCACAUCCCAGAUGGGAUGCAGGAGCUACGCAGCCAGCAGGCAGGAGACCCAAAGAAAUCCAGCACCCAGGCUGCUGUCCCAGGGACCCUUGUGCUCCUGGAGCUGCAGCUGGCCUCAGAGCCUGGUCCAGAGCCUGAAGAUGGUGGCGAGGAGCUGGAGCAGGGCCAGCCAUGCUCCUCAGGCACUGUCCAGCCCAAGGAGCAGCCUCGGGCAGCCUGGAAGGCUGGGAGCUUGGGCAGCCCUGCUGCCUCCCGGGAGCCCAGGGUGGGGCAGAGCAACCGGGCGGAGCAGCAUGCCCUGGGCCAGCCCACCACUGGCAGCCAGCUCAGUGCUGGAGCACACAGGCAGGUGUUGGGGCUGGCCAAGAGGCGUGGGGAGCCGGCAGCAGUGACAGGGCCCACCCAGGAUGUAGUAGGGACCCUAGCUCGCCUGAACACUCACCGUUGGGAGCAAGCAUCCUCCUCCCUGUGUCCAGCUGGCAGCAUGGAGCCAAGCCCCGCCGUGCCGCUGCCGCGGGCUGCCUCCGUGCGGGAGCGCGUCCAGCGCUUCACCCCGGCGGGCUCGGGGCCGGCCCCUGGCGCGGGGGCGGGCGGUGCGGGGGGGCGGGCCGAGCCCGCCCAGUGGCAGCGGGGGCCCCGCAUGGCCCCGCCGGGGCCCGCUCAAAACGCACGGGGCAGCGGCAGCAGAGGCGCAGAGCAGCGCCCGGUCUUGGCCGGUCCCGGUCCUGGCCCCGACAGCAUGAAGACCUUCUUCACCAUUGAGAUCAAGGAUGGGCGCGUGCAGCCCCUCACGCCCCGUGUCGUGGCCACCCCUGGCAGCCAGCGGGCAGAGGUAACCCUAGGGCUGAGGAGCACGCCCAUCCGCAUCACCACUGUCCCCAGAAGCAGCAGCAGCAUCUGCAGCAUCAACAGCAUCAGCAGCAAUGUCACCAAGGAUCCUUGCGCCCACUUUGAGGGCACCGAGGAGCCCAGCAGCCCUGUGGCCCAUCCGCCUGCUUUCUCCAGCACGCGCCAGCAAUCGACCUUACACCUCUCCCGGAGCAACAGUGGCAUGGAGCCAGAGGUGGUGGAGCAGCAGGCACCAAGGCUGGAGCCUGAGCUGCCCAAUGGCAUGGAGAAGGUUCAAGUCAGGGAGCUGGAGAGAAGGAGCAAGCUGAAUGUCGAAGAGCUGAACAGGAUCGAGGAUGAGGAUGUUCUGGAUAAGAUGCUGGAUCGGACAACAGACUUUGAGGAGCGGCGACUGAUCCGAAAUGCCAUGCGGGAGCUGCGCCAGCGCAAGCGAGACCGGCGGGAGAAGGAGCAGGACCAGCGGCUGCAGGAGAUGAGGAGUCAGGCUUCAGCAGGAAGGACCAGCCACGACACGGAGACCACCACCACGCAGAGCACCCAGUCAGCAGACGGCUCAGCACGCAGCACCGUCACAAAGACUGAGCGCCUUGUCCAGUCUAGUGAUGGCACCAAGACCUCCUGUACCACAACCAUGGAGUCAAGUUACAUGAAGAGAUCAGACAAUGGCAACAGCACGUUUGUUCAAACAAAAUCAUCUUACAGCUCCUCAUCCAAGAAGACAGGCAGCAUCUUUGACCGUGAAGACGAGAGUGCCACCAGGCAGAGCAGCCUUGCUGCGCUGGAGCGGCGCCAGGCAGAGAAGAAGAAGGAGUUGAUGAAAGCUCAGAGCCUGCCCAAGACAUCAGCCUCGCAGGCUCGCAAGGCCAUGAUGGAGAAGCUGCAGAAGGAGGGUGGGAGCUCACCAAGCCCCGCGGUGGCGCGCACCGCCGUGCAGCGCUCCUCCAGCUUUGGCGUGCCCAAUGCCAACAGCGUCAAGCAGAUGUUGCUGGACUGGUGCAGAGCCAAGACCCGGGGCUACGAGCAUGUGGACAUCCAGAACUUCUCAUCCAGCUGGAGUGAUGGCAUGGCCUUCUGUGCCUUGGUCCACAACUUCUUCCCCGAUGCAUUUGACUACAGCCAGCUGACACCUCAGAACCGCCGCCAUAACUUUGAGGUGGCCUUCUCCUCCGCAGAGAAGCACACAGACUGUCCGCAGUUGCUGGACGUGGAGGACAUGGUCCGGAUGCGCGAGCCAGAUUGGAAGUGUGUGUACACAUACAUUCAGGAAUUCUAUCGCUGCCUGGUCCAGAAGGGGCUGGUAAAAACCAAAAAGUCGUAGCCCAUUUUCACCCCCCUGGGAGCGAUGGACUCCCAAAUCACAAUGAGGGGCCACUGCCAGAUCAGCCAUGGGCUUGGCCUGAUUGCCUCCACAGCUACAUUGGCUCCAGCACAGGCAGCAGAGGCCCCCAGGGGAGAUGUGGGGCUGGAGGGCACAGGAGCGGAGCCCUGGGCCAGAUGACUCUUCUGGGCCCCGCUGCUCCCCAGGGACGCUGGUGGACUGUGUGCCGCUGGUGGAGGUGGAAGACAUGAUGAUCAUGGGGAAGAAGCCGGACGCCAAGUGCGUCUUCACCUACGUGCAGUCCCUCUACAACCACCUGCGUCGUCACGAGUUGCGCAUGCGACAGAAAGAGUGCUAGUGCCUGCCCUGCCUGCUCCCCUGCUGCCCUCUGCUCUCAGGGCUGCCAGCAGGCAGGAGAGCUGUCUGCCCCAGGAGGGUGCAGGGGGUGCUGCAGGGCCAGCACUGGGGACAGGGGGGCUCUGCCACCAUGGCACCCCAUGCCUCUGCCUUGCUGGAGCUCCCUCUGCCCCAGCCAGCUGCAGGCUGACCCUGUGGGCAAGGCCAGGUUCUGCUGCAGAUGCUCCCCAGCUUGGCUUGCCUCCUGUUCUGCAGUUAUUUGUUCUCCAGGAGCAAUUUGUCCCAUGGACAGCACUCCCAUGUCCUUGGGGAGGCCCGGGCAUGGCUGUGCUCUUGGGGCUGGCAUGGGUUGGCAGCUGAGCAGGGUCAUGCAGCCCAGCCUGGGUCAUGGUCAUGCCCUGGCAGUGCACCCCUGAGUGGCACCCCUUGGCCCCCUGUGAGGAAGCUCCUCUGCCUACUGCAGGUCCUGCUUGGUGCCACAUCCCUGGGGAUGGCCCCAUGCCCCGUGCUGACAUCCUGCUUCCCACCGCACACAUGCACUGUGGGGUGCUUCCACAGGAGGGGGGCUGCAGCCCUGUGUUGGGGGAUGGGCAGGAAGGCAAGGGGUCCCAGGGGAGCAAGGGGCCCCAAGGAGGGAGCUGGGACAGCAGCCCCCGCUCCUCCCCAGCCCAGCUUGGGGCACCGUGUGCUCAGCGCUGCUCACCCCUCUGUCACCGUCCGUACACGCAUGUUGACACGUGUACCAACACCAGCCAGACAAUAAAGGCUUAUUCUACAGGG
Apus apus (common swift) is the source of this 4150-nucleotide RNA transcript. It is a transcript of the gene named smoothelin, with no coding region annotated. The record is from RefSeq and is a predicted model, not a curated record. The transcript has 23 exons. NCBI's taxonomy places the organism in Eukaryota, Metazoa, Chordata, Aves, Apodiformes, Apodidae.